AUUGAACGCUGGCGGCAGGCCUAACACAUGCAAGUCGAAUGGUAACAGGAAACAGCUUGCUGUUUCGCUGACGAGUGGCGGACGGGUGAGUAAUGUCUGGGAAACUGCCUGAUGGAGGGGGAUAACUACUGGAAACGGUAGCUAAUACCGCAUAACGUCGCAAGACCAAAGAGGGGGACAUUCGGGCCUCUUGCCAUCAGAUGUGCCCAGAUGGGAUGAGAUAGUAGGUGGGGUAAGGGCUCACCUAGGCGACGAUCCCUAGCUGGUGUGAGAGGAUGACCAGCCACACGGGAACUGAGACACGGACCAGACUCCUACGGGAGGCAGCAGUGGGGAAUAGUGCACAAUGGGCGCAAGCCUGAUGCAGCCAUGCCGCGUGUAUGAAGAAGGCCUUCGGGUUGUAAAGUACUUUCAGCGGGGAGGAAGGGAGUAAAGUUAAUACCUUGGCUCAUUGACGUUACCCGCAGAAGAAGCACCGGCUAACUCCGUG
Molecule: ribosomal RNA, 490 nt
Filed under: uncultured bacterium
Lineage: Bacteria
Description: partial 16S ribosomal RNA
Rfam family: Bacterial small subunit ribosomal RNA
Source: RNAcentral